GGGGUGAUAGCUCAGUUGGGAGAGCGUGCGACUGAAGUUACUCAGUCAUUUAAUCGUAAGGUCGCCGGUUCAAUCCCGGCUCACCCCA
Molecule: transfer RNA, 88 nt
Rfam family: tRNA
About the family: Transfer RNA (tRNA) molecules are approximately 80 nucleotides in length. Their secondary structure includes four short double-helical elements and three loops (D, anti-codon, and T loops).
Source: Rfam